UGGGGAAUUUUGGACAAUGGGGGAAACCCUGAUCCAGCCAUCCCGCGUGUGCGAUGAAGGCCUUCGGGUUGUAAAGCACUUUUGGCAGGAAAGAAACGUCGCGGGUUAAUACCCCGCGAAACUGACGGUACCUGCAGAAUAAGCACCGGCUAACUACGUGCCAGCAGCCGCGGUAAUACGUAGGGUGCAAGCGUUAAUCGGAAUUACUGGGCGUAAAGCGUGCGCAGGCGGUUCGGAAAGAAAGACGUGAAAUCCCAGAGCUUAACUUUUGGAACUGCAUUUUUAACUACCGGGCUAGAGUGUGUCAGAGGGAGGUGGAAUUCCGCGUGUAGCAGUGAAAUGCGUAGAUAUGCGGAGGAACACCGAUGGCGAAGGCAGCCUCCUGGGAUAACACUGACGCUCAUGCACGAAAGCGUGGGGAGCAAACAGGAUUAGAUACCCUGGUAGUCCACGCCCUAAACGAUGUCAACUAGCUGUUGGGGCCUUCGGGCCUUGGUAGCGCAGCUAACGCGUGAAGUUGACCGCCUGGGGAGUACGGUCGC
RNAcentral lists this ribosomal RNA (542 nucleotides) under uncultured bacterium. RNAcentral describes it as "partial 16S ribosomal RNA". It matches the Rfam family "Bacterial small subunit ribosomal RNA", at positions 355 to 889 of the family's 1533-position model. The record is from RNAcentral.